CCCUUAGAUGUUCUGGGCUGCACGCGCGCUACACUGAUGCGCUCAACGAGUUUAUGACCUUGCCCGGAAGGGUUGGGUAAUCUUUUCAAAACGCAUCGUGAUGGGGAUAGAUUAUUGCAAUUAUUAAUCUUCAACGAGGAAUUCCUAGUAAGCGCGAGUCAUCAGCUCGUGCUGAUUACGUCCCUGCCCUUUGUACACACCGCCCGUCGCUCCUACCGAUGGAGUGAUCCGGUGAAUAAUUCGGACUGCAGCAAUGUUCAGCUCCUGAAUGUUGCAGCGGAAAGUUUAGUGAACCUUAUCACUUAGAGGAAGGAGAAGUCGUAACA
RNAcentral lists this ribosomal RNA (326 nucleotides) under uncultured eukaryote. RNAcentral's name for it is "partial 18S ribosomal RNA". It matches the Rfam family "Eukaryotic small subunit ribosomal RNA", at positions 1470 to 1796 of the family's 1831-position model. The record is from RNAcentral.